RNAcentral lists this ribosomal RNA (559 nucleotides) under Limosilactobacillus reuteri. RNAcentral's name for it is "bacterial SSU rRNA". It matches the Rfam family "Bacterial small subunit ribosomal RNA", at positions 335 to 885 of the family's 1533-position model. The record is from RNAcentral. Lineage: Bacteria; Bacillati; Bacillota; Bacilli; Lactobacillales; Lactobacillaceae.
AGCUCAGAAGGGGGGGGCAGUUGGGAAUCUUCCACAAUGGGCGCAAGUCUGAUGGAGCAACACCGCGUGAGUGAAGAAGGUUUUCGGCUCGUAAAGCUCUGUUGUUGGAGAAGAACGUGCGUGAGAGUAACUGUUCACGCAGUGACGGUAUCCAACCAGAAAGUCACGGCUAACUACGUGCCAGCAGCCGCGGUAAUACGUAGGUGGCAAGCGUUAUCCGGAUUUAUUGGGCGUAAAGCGAACGCAGGCGGUUGCUUAGGUCUGAUGUGAAAGCCUUCGGCUUAACCGGAGAAGGGCAUCGGAAACCGGGCGACUUGAGUGCAGAAGAGGAGAGUGGAACUCCAUGUGUAGCGGUGGAAUGCGUAGAUAUAUGGAAGAACACCAGUGGCGAAGGCGGCUGUCUGGUCUGCAACUGACGCUGAGGUUCGAAAGCAUGGGUAGCAAACAGGAUUAGAUACCCUGGUAGUCCAUGCCGUAAACGAUGAGUGCUAGGUGUUGGAGGGUUUCCGCCCUUCAGUGCCGGAGCUAACGCAUUAAGCACUCCGCCUGGAGACACCGA